UCGAGGGGCAGCGGUGGUGAAGGCUUGCCUUUACCAGCCGGCGACCGGCGCACGGGUGAGUAACACGUAUGCAACCUGCCUGCCACAGCCGGAUAAUCGGGAGAAAUCCCGUCUAAUACGGCAUAAUGCACCUAUGGGACAUCCUGUUGGUGCCAAAGGUUAAUUCCGGUGGCGGAUGGGCAUGCGUCGCAUUAGUUAGUUGGCGGUGUAACGGACCACCAAGACGACGAUGCGUAGGGGUUCUGAGAGGAAGGUCCCCCACACUGGUACUGAGACACGGACCAGACUCCUACGGGAGGCAGCAGUGAGGAAUAUUGGUCAAUGGGCGGGAGCCUGAACCAGCCAAGUCGCGUGAGGGAUGACGGCCCUAUGGGUUGUAAACCUCUUUUGCCGGGGAGCAAAGUGCCGCACGUGUGCGGUUUGGAGAGUACCCGGAGAAAAAGCAUCGGCUAACUCCGUGCCAGCAGCCGCGGUAAUACGGAGGAUGCGAGCGUUAUCCGGAUUUAUUGGGUUUAAAGGGUGCGUAGGCGGACGCUUAAGUCAGCGGUAAAAUUGCGGGGCUCAACCUCGUCGAGCCGUUGAAACUGGGUGCCUUGAGUGGGCGAGAAGUACGCGGAAUGCGUGGUGUAGCGGUGAAAUGCAUAGAUAUCACGCAGAACUCCGAUUGCGAAGGCAGCGUACCGGCGCCCAACUGACGCUGAAGCACGAAGGCGUGGGUAUCGAACAGGAUUAGAUACCCUGGUAGUCCACGCAGUAAACGAUGAAUGCUAGUUGUCCG
Molecule: ribosomal RNA, 778 nt
Filed under: uncultured bacterium
Lineage: Bacteria
Description: bacterial SSU rRNA
Rfam family: Bacterial small subunit ribosomal RNA
Source: RNAcentral